RNAcentral lists this small RNA (991 nucleotides) under Rattus norvegicus (Norway rat). RNAcentral describes it as "uncharacterized LOC102550919". The record is from RNAcentral. Lineage: Eukaryota; Metazoa; Chordata; Mammalia; Rodentia; Muridae.
UCUGUAGAGUCUUCCCUUGAGCUGUACAGAAACAAAAGUACAUGCUUCCUUAAAGGACAAACCACAGAAGAUCAUGGGAAGGCAGGGAGAUCAUGCCCAAGUCUGUUGGCAAAGCAGUUACAGUGAGAUGAACAGCUGUGUUCUACUCAGGACUCCUGCCUUGACGCUAUGCCCCUCGUAGACCCAAAACCAUGGUGCCAACCACUCUCUGAAACUUGCUUCCAUUACUGGCUCAAGAUUCCUCCGGCCCACCGUGGCACCCGUGUCGUGGCAUGCAGUGACAAUGAGCUCAGGGUGCCAAAGUAGACGUGUGCAGAGCAACGGAAAGACUACACAGGGACACUUCACCGGAAUGUAGCAACAGGCUAAUGGCAUCUUCAACUUCACGUGACCUGCGUUUGGAACAUCAGAAUUAAGCAUCCAUAUUGACUCUGCCUUUCUUGUGAAAACAAUUAAACAGUGUGUGCUAGGCAGAGAGUCAUCUCAGGGAUUAAAAGGUGUUCACCUAUUCUUGCAAAAUCCAAGACAUGAAGGGCGGGUGUCAGAUCCUGUCCUGAGAGAGGUAGGGUGUAGGAGGGACCCUUACCAGAUGGCUGUAGUAGUCCUGUUCCUUAGGCAUCAGAAACACCCAGGAACUGUCCAACGACAAGGGUCGGACUGCCGUGAACUUGAAGAGGACAUUUCAGAAAGUCGUGUGUUUUGCAUAAAGACACACAGGCCAAGGGAAGGUUUGCAGUGGAUAAAAAUAGUCGCUGAGUCCCCGGCGUAGAUAACUCCACCUUAGAUGGGUGCAGUUACGGCUUGGCCCAUCAAAGCGACGGGGCUUCCCACAUCCCUCUGAAUUUCCUUCAGGGUCUUCAAAACCCAGCACUUACUCAAAAGCAGCAUGCAGCUGUGACUGACUGCUGUUUUAUGGCACGUUUACAAGAAUCGUAAUGUCCCCUAAAGCAGUUCUGAAAAUAGUAGAGUUCCCCCUUUCUGGUUUCUCCAU